AACGCACAUUGCGCUCCUUGGUAUUCCGGGGAGCAUGCCUGUUUGAGAAUCAGUAAAUUCAUCAACUGCUGGACGGUGGUCUGCUUUCGGGCGGAACGCGGGCGGUUGGAUAUGGACCCUUUUGUGCCUGGCACAAUGGUCUGAAAUUCAAUGUCAUGGAAUCGAUGGACGCCUGUCCUGGUUUCGAGCGCAUGAAAGGGGUUAAUCUUCUUUUUACGCUUGCAUGAUCGGGUAUGGGAUUAGAGCUGUCGACUCCGAGACUCAACUAUCAUACAGUCGGGGCCUCGAAAGAGGUUUCACUGAACACUUGGUCUCAAAUCAGGUAGGAAAACCCGCUGAACUUAA
RNAcentral lists this unclassified non-coding RNA (345 nucleotides) under uncultured Rhizophlyctidales. Its description in RNAcentral is "sequence contains 5.8S rRNA gene, ITS2, 28S rRNA gene". The record is from RNAcentral. Lineage: Eukaryota; Fungi; Chytridiomycota; Chytridiomycetes; Rhizophlyctidales.